GUACUCACUGUGAUAGCACACAUACUAAAACUGGAACAACAGAGAAAAGAUUAGCAGAGCCCCUGCACAAAAAUGACAAGUAAAUUCAUGAAGGAUUCCGUAUUUUU
Small nuclear RNA from Zalophus californianus (California sea lion), 107 nucleotides. Lineage: Eukaryota; Metazoa; Chordata; Mammalia; Carnivora; Otariidae. The record is from Ensembl.